GACGAACGCUGGCGGCGUGCUUAACACAUGCAAGUCGAACGGAAAGGCCUCUUUCGGGGGGUACUCGAGUGGCGAACGGGUGAGUAACACGUGAGUAACCUGCCCUUGACUUUGGGAUAACUUCAGGAAACUGGGGCUAAUACCGGAUAGGAGCUCCUGCUGCAUGGUGGGGGUUGGAAAGUUUCGGCGGUUGGGGAUGGACUCGCGGCUUAUCAGCUUGUUGGUGGGGUAGUGGCUUACCAAGGCUUUGACGGGUAGCCGGCCUGAGAGGGUGACCGGCCACAUUGGGACUGAGAUACGGCCCAGACGCCUACGGGAGGCAGCAGUGGGGAAUAUUGCACAGUGGGUGGAAGCCUGAUGCAGCAACGCCGUGUGCGGGAUGACGGCCUUCGGGUUGUAAACCGCUUUCGCUCAUGACGAAGCUUUGUGUGACGGUAGUGGGUAAAGAAGCACCGGCUAACUACGUG
Molecule: ribosomal RNA, 467 nt
Filed under: uncultured bacterium
Lineage: Bacteria
Description: partial 16S ribosomal RNA
Rfam family: Bacterial small subunit ribosomal RNA
Source: RNAcentral